UAGAUACCCUGGUAGUCCACGCCCUAAACGAUGUCUACUAGUUGUCGGGGAUUAAUUUCCUUGGUAACGCAGCUAACGCGUGAAGUAGACCGCCUGGGGAGUACGGUCGCAAGAUUAAAACUCAAAGGAAUUGACGGGGACCCGCACAAGCGGUGGAUGAUGUGGAUUAAUUCGAUGCAACGCGAAAAACCUUACCUACGCUUGACAUGUCCGGAACCCUGAAGAGAUUUGGGGGUGCUCGAAAGAGAGC
RNAcentral lists this ribosomal RNA (250 nucleotides) under uncultured bacterium. RNAcentral describes it as "partial 16S ribosomal RNA". It matches the Rfam family "Bacterial small subunit ribosomal RNA", at positions 779 to 1027 of the family's 1533-position model. The record is from RNAcentral.